Non-coding RNA from Meleagris gallopavo (turkey), 1376 nucleotides. The record is from RefSeq and is a predicted model, not a curated record. NCBI's taxonomy places the organism in Eukaryota, Metazoa, Chordata, Aves, Galliformes, Phasianidae.
UCCGGCCCGCAGCACGGGGCUCGUGGUGCUGCGGUGUGCGUGAGAAACAGCAAAACGCAGCUUUUCAGACUCCCGGAGCACCGCUUCUCAACUAUGCCUGCCUCUCUCAUCCAUUGCCUCACUCUGAACGCUCGCUGUGUGCUCGUUCUUUCACCUUGCUCUUACUUGCGAGUCAUGUUUUCUUACCUUUAAACUACUUUUUUUUUCUUCUUCUUCCUUUCAGAUGUUUCAAGCUACCUCUUCUCCAAAGCAUCCAUCCUAACUCUCAGUCUCGCUGUUUCUCGUCACAAUUCUGAGAUCACAGAAGAGCAGCUGCCCUCACCUGUAGCACCCAGGUGCAGCACUGCUGUGUGCAAGAGAGCUGAGCGCUGCCUCAUCCCACCUACUGAGAACUUCCCUGCACAGCACCUCAUGAAUCUGCAGCGCCAAUGCAAAGCUCUCAGAAGCAGAAAACAUCCAAGGAAACAAAACUCCACGAUCCCAAAAGAUACACAAUUUGUGCUAGCUCAGUGGAAAAGGCAAGUAAAUAAGUAGGGGGUUGGUUAUUGCUUUCCUGAAAGAAUGUAAUAGGAAAGCAUCAUGAGAAGUACCAAAGCAGAAAUUUUGAAAGAAAAAAAGAAUAAUUCACUACUCGAGCUACCAUCCGUCCUUUUUCUGCUGUUCUCCCUACAUGCAUUAACUGUGAAUUAUUUUUGCACAUCUUUGCAUGUGAUGUGUCAACGUUUUCCCAAUAAACUGACAGAAAUGUCUAUUUGUGCACAACAAGAACAAAAAAUGUGGAGGAAAUAAGGGCUACUGUUUGUCUCAAGAUCAAGCUUGAGAUGAAUAUUAAAUGCUUUUAAUGUUGACCAUUCCAAAACCUAUUAGGUUUUGGAGCAUUUUGAAGAAAAUAAAGAAAAUACUGAAAGAGUUGUGUCCCUGCGAUGGGCUUGGAAAGGACUAGUCAGUCAGUCCGCAAGGAACCAUGCAAUGCAGAUCUUAUUUAAAUAACGGCAUAUUUUAAAAACUGUCUAGGAAAACAUGGGCAACAGAUCAGGUCUUUCAAUUUUGUUUCCGAAAGAGUUACAGAAAGAUCAUCUAUCUGAUGAAAUGCAGCUAGAAAACCUCUUCUGUAUCUCAUUUAAAAUAUGUCUCUUCUGAAAAUGUGCCUUCCAAAAGUUCAUAAAAGCCCAUUUUAGUCAGAUUGGGCAAGUAGGAGAAGAGAUCUUAUGCUGUUUUCUUUAUAAUGAUCAUUUUUAUUCCUUGGCCCCAUUAAGGCACUGAUAAAGAUGCAUUGGUCAACACAAAGGUUACGAUAUGAGAAGAAAUCUUCCACACAACCCGCAUUCCAAAUCCGCGCUCUAUUUCUGCCAGAUUAAUUAAAAUUGUGUUUUAAA